This 470-nucleotide ribosomal RNA is filed under the name uncultured bacterium. RNAcentral describes it as "bacterial SSU rRNA". It matches the Rfam family "Bacterial small subunit ribosomal RNA", at positions 30 to 507 of the family's 1533-position model. The record is from RNAcentral.
AGUGAACGCUGGCGGCAGGCCUAAUACAUGCAAGUCGAACGGCAGCACAGUGGAGCUUGCUCCAUGGGUGGCGAGUGGCGGACGGGUGAGGAAUACAUGGGAAUCUGCCCAGUCGUGGGGGAUAACGUAUGGAAACGUACGCUAAUACCGCAUGCGCCCUUCGGGGGAAAGUCGGGGACCGCAAGGCCUGACGCGAUUGGAUGAGCCCAUGUUCGAUUAGCUAGUUGGCGGGGUAACGGCCCACCAAGGCAACGACGGGUAGCCAGCCUGAGAGGGUGACCGGCCACACUGGGACUGAGACACGGCCCAGACUCCUACGGGAGGCAGCAGUGGGGAAUAUUGGACAAUGGGCGAAAGCCUGAUCCAGCAACGCCGCGUGAGGGAUGACGGCCUUCGGGUUGUAAACCUCUUUCAGUAGGGACGAAGCGAAAGUGACGGUACCUACAGAAGAAGGACCGGCCAACUACGUG